UGCAGUCGAGCGCACUCUUCGGAGUGAGCGGCGGACGGGUUAGUAACGCGUGGGAACGUGCCCUUCUCUAAGGAAUAGCCUCGGGAAACUGAGAGUAAUACCUUAUACGCCCUUCGGGGGAAAGAUUUAUCGGAGAAGGAUUGGCCCGCGUAAGAUUAGAUAGUUGGUGGGGUAAUGGCCUACCAAGUCUACGAUCUUUAGCUGGUUUUAGAGGAUGAUCAGCAACACUGGGACUGAGACACGGCCCAGACUCCUACGGGAGGCAGCAGUGGGGAAUCUUAGACAAUGGGCGCAAGCCUGAUCUAGCCAUGCCGCGUGUGUGAUGAAGGCCUUAGGGUCGUAAAGCACUUUCGCCAGAGAUGAUAAUGACAGUAUCUGGUAAAGAAACCCCGGCUAACUCCGUGCCAGCAGCCGCGGUAAUACGGAGGGGGUUAGCGUUGUUCGGAAUUACUGGGCGUAAAGCGUACGUAGGCGGAUCAGAAAGUAGGGGGUGAAAUCCCGAGGCUCAACCUCGGAACUGCCUCCUAAACUCCUGGUCUUGAGUUCGAGAGAGGUGAGUGGAAUUCCAAGUGUAGAGGUGAAAUUCGUAGAUAUUUGGAGGAACACCAGUGGCGAAGGCGGCUCA
This 625-nucleotide ribosomal RNA is filed under the name uncultured bacterium. RNAcentral's name for it is "bacterial SSU rRNA". It matches the Rfam family "Bacterial small subunit ribosomal RNA", at positions 56 to 728 of the family's 1533-position model. The record is from RNAcentral.